UUUGUAUCUAACGGUAUACGUUAUAAUCUUACUCGUUUGGUGUUUCGUUGAGGCAGAUCUAGAUUGUUCAAGUUCAAAUAUCGCCCAACUCAUGUUUCUUUGUCGAAUUGCUAACAAUAAUGGAUACAUUUCACUGCAUCAUAGGAUGAUACAUGCAAAUAAUCUUAUCAGUUGUUACAUUUACCAAAUUCCAAUGGGAAGUGUAAUGAAUUUCCUUUUUUGGUUAAGUCCUCUUCUUCAACAUGCGUCAACAUGAAAAAGUACAACAUUCACCUUGUCUCAAUUUCAAAAGAAAAUACAUUUCAACAUUCGGUUCCAAAAUUCAGGAGAAUUCAACAACAAAAUAUACGUAAAGAUUGGUCAUGGUGCAGCUGAAGCUGUGAAAAAACUAUUGAUCAAUCAAAAGUUAGGAUUGGGUCAACUAUCAGUUUUUAUUCAAUCUAAAUUUCAUAUGAUAAACGGUUUAGAUUACUACUUAUUAUAACAAAGACAAUGAAAUUUUAGAUUAACAAA
This is a long non-coding RNA of Xenia sp. Carnegie-2017, 513 nucleotides long. RefSeq lists it as uncharacterized. The record is from RefSeq and is a predicted model, not a curated record. NCBI's taxonomy places the organism in Eukaryota, Metazoa, Cnidaria, Anthozoa, Malacalcyonacea, Xeniidae. The transcript is spliced from 2 exons.